CGGAGUGUGGUGGAGGGGGGCGGGUAAUUGUGGAGGGGGGGAUCGUUAUCCGGAAUCACUGGGUUUGAAGGUGGCGUAUGCUGUGUAUGAUGGAAGUGGUGAAAGGCCGUCGCUUAAAGAUGGGACUGCCAUUGAUACUGGUAGACUUGAAUCAGGUUUAGGUUGGCGGAAUGUGGCAUGUAGCGGUGAAAUGCAUAGAUAUGCCAUGGAAUACCGAUGGCGAAGGCAGCUGACUGGACCUUGAUUGACGCUGAGGCACGAAAGCGUGGGUAGCGAACAGGAUUAGAUACCCUAGUAGUC
Molecule: ribosomal RNA, 300 nt
Filed under: uncultured Sulfitobacter sp.
Lineage: Bacteria; Pseudomonadati; Pseudomonadota; Alphaproteobacteria; Rhodobacterales; Roseobacteraceae
Description: bacterial SSU rRNA
Rfam family: Bacterial small subunit ribosomal RNA (bases 52-300)
Source: RNAcentral